Molecule: transfer RNA, 71 nt
Filed under: Triticum aestivum (bread wheat)
Lineage: Eukaryota; Viridiplantae; Streptophyta; Magnoliopsida; Poales; Poaceae
Also listed under: 1 other name
Rfam family: tRNA
About the family: Transfer RNA (tRNA) molecules are approximately 80 nucleotides in length. Their secondary structure includes four short double-helical elements and three loops (D, anti-codon, and T loops). Further hydrogen bonds mediate the characteristic L-shaped molecular structure. tRNAs have two regions of fundamental functional importance: the anti-codon, which is responsible for specific mRNA codon recognition, and the 3' end, to which the tRNAs corresponding amino acid is attached (by aminoacyl-tRNA synthetases). tRNAs cope with the degeneracy of the genetic code in two manners: having more than one tRNA (with a specific anti-codon) for a particular amino acid; and 'wobble' base-pairing, i.e. permitting non-standard base-pairing at the 3rd anti-codon position.
Source: Rfam by way of RNAcentral
AUCAGAGUGGCGCAGCGGAAGUGUGGUGGGCCCAUAACCCACAGGUCCCAGGAUCAAACCUGGCUCUAAUA